AGAGUUUGAUCCUGGCUCAGAACGAACGCUGGCGGCAGGCUUAACACAUGCAAGUCGAGCGCCCCGCAAGGGGAGCGGCAGACGGGUGAGUAACGCGUGGGGAUCUGCCUAGUGGUACGGAACAACACAGGGAAACUUGUGCUAAUACCGUAUAAGUCCUUCGGGAGAAAGAUUUAUCGCCAUUAGAUGAACCCGCGUCUGAUUAGCUAGUUGGUGAGGUAAUGGCUCACCAAGGCGACGAUCAGUAGCUGGUCUGAGAGGAUGAUCAGCCACACUGGGACUGAGACACGGCCCAGACUCCUACGGGAGGCAGCAGUGGGGAAUAUUGGACAAUGGGCGCAAGCCUGAUCCAGCCAUGCCGCGUGUGUGAUGAAGGCCUUAGGGUUGUAAAGCACUUUCGUUGGGGAAGAUAAUGACGGUACCCAAAGAAGAAGCCCCGGCUAACUUCGUGCCAGCAGCCGCGGUAAUACGAAGGGGGCUAGCGUUGUUCGGAAUUACUGGGCGUAAAGCGCACGUAGGCGGACUUGUUAGUCAGAGGUGAAAUCCCGAAGCUUAACUUCGGAACUGCCUUUGAUACUGCAAGUCUCGAGGAUGGGAGAGGUGAGUGGAACUGCGAGUGUAGAGGUGAAAUUCGUAGAUAUUCGCAAGAACACCAGUGGCGAAGGCGGCUCACUGGCCCAUUACUGACGCUGAGGUGCGAAAGCGUGGGGGAGCAAACAGGAUUAGAUACCCUAGUAGUCC
RNAcentral lists this ribosomal RNA (741 nucleotides) under uncultured bacterium. RNAcentral describes it as "bacterial SSU rRNA". It matches the Rfam family "Bacterial small subunit ribosomal RNA", at positions 8 to 796 of the family's 1533-position model. The record is from RNAcentral.